Molecule: ribosomal RNA, 497 nt
Filed under: uncultured bacterium
Lineage: Bacteria
Description: partial 16S ribosomal RNA
Rfam family: Bacterial small subunit ribosomal RNA
Source: RNAcentral
GAUGAACGCUGGCGGCGUGCCUAAUACAUGCAAGUCGAGCGAACAGACGAGGAGCUUGCUCCUCUGACGUUAGCGGCGGACGGGUGAGUAACACGUGGAUAACCUACCUAUAAGACUGGGAUAACUUCGGGAAACCGGAGCUAAUACCGGAUAAUAUAUUGAACCGCAUGGUUCAAUAGUGAAAGACGGUUUUGCUGUCACUUAUAGAUGGUUCCGCGCCGCAUUAGCUAGUUGGUAAGGUAACGGCUUACCAAGGCGACGAUGCGUAGCCGACCUGAGAGGGUGAUCGGCCACACUGGAACUGAGACACGGUCCAGACUCCUACGGGAGGCAGCAGUAGGGAAUCUUCCGCAAUGGGCGAAAGCCUGACGGAGCAACGCCGCGUGAGUGAUGAAGGUCUUCGGAUCGUAAAACUCUGUUAUUAGGGAAGAACAAAUGUGUAAGUAACUAUGCACGUCUUGACGGUACCUAAUCAGAAAGCCACGGCUAACUACGUG